CCUACGGGAGGCAGCAGUGGGGAAUAUUGCACAAUGGGGGAAACCCUGAUGCAGCGACGCCGCGUGAGUGAAGAAGUAAUUCGUUAUGUAAAGCUCUAUCAGCAGGGAAGAAAAUGACGGUACCUGAGUAAGAAGCCCCGGCUAACUACGUGCCAGCAGCCGCGGUCAUACGUAGGGGGCAAGCGUUAUCCGGAUUUACUGGGUGUAAAGGGAGAGUAGACGGCAGUGCAAGUCUGGAGUGAAAGGCGGGGGCUCAACCCCCGGACUGCUCUGGAAACUGUACGGCUGGAGUGCAGGAGAGGUAAGUGGAAUUCCUAGUGUAGCGGUGAAAUGCGUAGAUAUUAGGAGGAACACCAGUGGCGAAGGCGGCUUACUGGACUGUAACUGACGUUGAGGCUCGAAAGCGUGGGGAGCAAACAGGAUUAGAUACCCUGGUAGUC
RNAcentral lists this ribosomal RNA (440 nucleotides) under uncultured bacterium. RNAcentral describes it as "partial 16S ribosomal RNA". It matches the Rfam family "Bacterial small subunit ribosomal RNA", at positions 338 to 795 of the family's 1533-position model. The record is from RNAcentral.